CAAACUUUGUUCUGCACAGUGAAGGUGGGAGAGGGCCCAGUUACAUUAGGAUACUCUUGGAUUCAAUUGGAAAUCUGGAGCAUCUCAUAAGGACUGGUACCUUUCGCAUUACUAUGAGACGCCUCGGGACGUGACAAAUCGUCGCUAUGUUAUGUGUUGGGAAUGAGAAUGCUCUGUUGGCAAUACGCUGUCAUGAAAAUGAACUAAUUGGCUGUUCUCAGUGUGUGUGGGGCCAGUGCACAGCGGCCCUUUAAUUGACCCAUCAGCCCAAAAGUAUAUCGGUCCACUGGUCAAAAUGCCUGGUUUGCCAGAUUACCAGCGAAGCCCUGUGUGUUACUCACAUGUGAUAUCCUGAAAACAUCUCUUCUCUUUACUGAUGCAGACCCAUUUCCCACCAGCGAGGAUGAAGGAGCCAGCUCCACACAAUACUUGGCAAGCUUUCUGAAGGAAAUGAGAAUGGCUCCAUCCAUCCAGCUGAGAGGACACUUCCUGUCUCAGAUGACACUUCAUAGAUCAGGUUGGAGCAGAGAAACACUUCCUGGCGUCAGAGGUCAUUUCGUAUACGUCAGGAGAAGAGGACACUUCCUGAAUUCAGAUUUUGAACAUGAGAAUGUGGACUAACGGAGGUGAGGAUUGGACCACCAACUUUCUGAUCAGCAGAUAACCUGUCUGCCUCCUGAGUCCCGGCUGUGGAGGGUUAAUAGGAAGAACCAACAAGUCCUGAUAUGUCUUCCUUUAAAGAGAGAUGAUCAGAUUUUGAAAAUCUGAUCCUCAAAUAUGAAACGAUAACUGCAUUAUGAGCGCAUUAUUUUACUUUGCAGAGGUGAAAUAUGAAGUAAAGUCUCAGGAGUGUCAUUUCAUCUGCUGAUCAUGUGAAAGAAAAGCUGCUGCAGGCAUCAGAUGGUCAUCCAGUGGAAACCUGUCAUUCCCAGGCAGGUUUGGCUUCACAUAAGUCUAAUCUAUGCUUUAAUCCCCGUCUGCACUGAAGUUGGUGGGCUGUCGUUAAUGACGGUGAGAGCGUUCUUUUCCUAAAUGCUGAAUUCAGAAUUAACACGAAGUCAAGUUUUAAUGUGAUUACUCUCAACCUAAAAAAACCCCAAGUUAAAUCCAAAGAAAAUUUGUGCUUAGUGACACAGAGAGAGGCAAAAGGAUGUCCACGUGGGCUGAAAAUUCUCUUCAUGCUCUUCCACAAACUGUAGAGCUAAAACUGAAGCAACACUUUGCUAAUUUCUGCCAAACAAUAAAACCAAAAAAACCCAUUCAGAUUAAUCUUCAGUAGGAGCCUGCAUUUACUCACAAGAACCAUAACAAAUGUGUUUAUUCAGUGUUUGAGCAGCUCUUCUAUUGAAAUGACUGCAGAAAGACAAUAAUGUCUUUAUAGCAGGGAAGUCCAAAUGUGAUAGGUUUGAAACAUCAAAGAAACAGAAACAGGAAGCAGAAGCUGACGUGAGGCGUGAAGCCUGGUGCAGUGAAACACUGCAGAUAAAGAUUAUUAAUCUGAAGCUUUAAUGUGGCUUUGUUUCAGAUUUUUUAGCUUUAAAAAUGCCUCUCCUUAAAUAUCAUGUCGACUUUAAACUGUGCGUGUGUGUGUGCGUGUGUGUGUGUGUGUGUGUGUUGUGUGUGUGUGUGUUUGUGUUUAUCCACCAACAUUCCAGCCAGGAGACAGGAAGUCAGGAAUAGGGUGAGGAGUAUGUCAUCAUCCAGGGGCUGGCACAGCUUUGGCUCAAGCCUGAAGAUGAGUGUGAGGAGCUGAAAGAAUCAACGGGGAAGCAUUGUCAGAAUUUUCCAAAUUGACUUUAUUUAAUUUUCUAAAGCAAUGCUUCCUCUUUGAAACUUUGUUACUUGGAAGGUGCUUUUCCUUCAGUUCCUUCUAAGGAACUGUGCAAUUGUUACACCAUGAAAGAAUUUAGACAGUUUGUAACUCUAAGUGAUGCCGCAGUGUUCGUUUGACUUUGGGACCUGAAGCAGAGUUUGGGGGGCGCCAGGACAUACGAUCGAGGCGGCAGCCGAGGAGCUAAGGAGGAGUAGAAUUUGGCUGGAGGCGCUGCAGCAAAGCAGGGACCUCCACAGCGAAGGAACACCAAGAACUUAUAAGUGAGGUAGCAAACAGCUGAACCCAAUGGAAACUGAAGUGCACAAUGAAAAUCAGAGACUGGAUGUUCAUUACCAUAGUUUCUUCAAAGUCAUGAUGGAUCGGAAAGUAUGUGGCCGGGUGACUGGAUCUCACCCCUCGCCCCUAUUUGGAAAGGGUCAUACCUCUCAAACCACAGGGACACUGUAGGUCACAAAUACAUAUUUUCAGUUUCUUGUAAUCUUGUUCCAAGUUCUUAGAGUUAUUGUGGAUUGCUAUGAUUGUGAUAAGCCAAAAACAGAACAAAACUUUACAGUAAAAGGGCUGGACCAGGUGACCCUGAAUCCUCCCUUAGUUAUGCUGCAAUA
Molecule: long non-coding RNA, 2439 nt
Organism: Oreochromis niloticus (Nile tilapia)
Lineage: Eukaryota; Metazoa; Chordata; Actinopteri; Cichliformes; Cichlidae
Exons: 3
Source: RefSeq, a predicted model, not a curated record